This 207-nucleotide long non-coding RNA is filed under the name Vigna radiata. RNAcentral describes it as "long non-coding RNA (VRAD_LNC010850)". The record is from RNAcentral. Lineage: Eukaryota; Viridiplantae; Streptophyta; Magnoliopsida; Fabales; Fabaceae.
UUAAUCUUUAAUUUUCUUUUACGGAUCUUUUCAAGUCAGAAAAAAAAAAAAACUAUAAUAAUUGAAGCGAUUUUAUUUUUCUUAAUUUGUAAAGAGAGAAAAAAUAUUUUUUAAAUAUAAAAUAAAGAAAAAGAAAAUAUUUAAGCGUGCGUACGCUGGAAUGGAGGGCAUGAUAAGGUUGCUUUCGCUUUGAAAUUUGGAGAAUAA